UACGGGAGUGGCAAGCGUUAUCCGGAAUUAUUGGGCGUAAAGCGUCCGCAGGCGGUCUUGUAAGUCUGUUGUUAAAGCGUGGAGCUUAACUCCAUUUCAGCAAUGGAAACUGUAAGACUAGAGUGUGGUAGGGGCAGAGGGAAUUCCCGGUGUAGCGGUGAAAUGCGUAGAUAUCGGGAAGAACACCAGUGGCGAAGGCGCUCUGCUGGGCCAUAACUGACGCUCAUGGACGAAAGCCAGGGGAGCGAAAGGGAUUAGAUACCCCUGUAGUCCUGGCCGUAAACGAUGAACACUAGGUGUCGGGGGAAUCGACCCCCUCGGUGUCGUAGCCAACGCGUUAAGUGUUCCGCCUGGGGAGUACGCACGCAAGUGUGAAACUCAAAGGAAUUGACGGGGGCCCGCACAAGCGGUGGAGUAUGUGGUUUAAUUCGAUGCAACGCGAAGAACCUUACCAGGGUUUGACAUCCUGCGAAUCUCUUGGAAACGAGAGAGUGCCUUCGGGAACGCAGUGACAGGUGGUGCAUGGCUGUCGUCAGCUCGUGUCGUGAGAUGUUGGGUUAAGUCCCGCAACGAGCGCAACCCACGUCGUUAGUUGCCAGCAUUUAGUUGGGCACUCUAGCGAGACCGCCGGUGAUAAACCGGAGGAAGGUGUGGAUGACGUCAAGUCAUCAUGCCCCUUACAUCCUGGGCUACACACGUACUACAAUGCUACGGACAAAGGGCAGCAAACUCGCGAGAGCUAGCAAAUCCCAUAAACCGUGGCUCAGUUCAGAUCGUAGGCUGCAACUCGCCUACGUGAAGGAGGAAUCGCUAGUAAUCGCAGGUCAGCAUACUGCGGUGAAUACGUUCCCGGGCCU
RNAcentral lists this ribosomal RNA (857 nucleotides) under uncultured bacterium. RNAcentral's name for it is "SSU rRNA". It matches the Rfam family "Bacterial small subunit ribosomal RNA", at positions 524 to 1381 of the family's 1533-position model. The record is from RNAcentral.